UACUUAAAAUAAAAUUAGAUUUAUAUAACUCCGUCAGUAUUUAAAAUACACUAAUAGUUGGUAACAUAUAGCCAUUAAUACUCAAAAUACACCAAGAGUUGGCAUUAUAAGCCACUAAUACUCAAAAUACAUCAAAAGUUGACAUUAUAAGCCACUAGUACUCUAUACACUGAAAUUCAGUUGGCAGCAUAGGCCACCAUAAUACAUAAUACAUCAAAAUGAAACUUAAAAAUCACUUGUCUUGUUCACAUUGCAUCAUUUUUGGAGUUUCACCUUCUUCUGCGGUCCUGCGUACUUUCUCUUCUUUUCCUACAAUAAUAGAUUUAUCAUUGAAUCAGUUACAAGAAUGGUUUAAAUCUAUAUAAAGUACAAAAAGUUUUAAAUUUGCAAUAAUACUUUUUUUGGUGCAGUACAAAACAUUGGCUCAGUAGUCUGUUUUUGAGAAAGCACACAAGGAACAG
Molecule: long non-coding RNA, 461 nt
Filed under: Trifolium pratense (red clover)
Lineage: Eukaryota; Viridiplantae; Streptophyta; Magnoliopsida; Fabales; Fabaceae
Description: long non-coding RNA (TPRA_LNC007245)
Source: RNAcentral